AGGGUUUGAUCAUGGCUCAGAACGUACGCUGGCGGCACGCCUAACACAUGCAAGUCGAACGAAGUAGCAAUACUUAGUGGCAGACGGGUGAGUAACAUGUAGGUAUCUACCCUUUGGCCUGGAAUAACACGAGGAAACUUGUGCUAAUACUGGAUAAGUCUUUACGGAGAAAGCUUUAUGCACCAUUGGAUGAGCCUGCACUUGAUUAGUUUGUUGGUAGGGUAAUGGCCUACCAAGACUUUGAUCAAUAGCUGAUUUGAGAGGAUGAUCAGCCACAUUGGGACUGAGACACGGCCCAAACUCCUACGGGAGGCAGCAGUGGGGAAUCUUGCACAAUGGAGGAAACUCUGAUGCAGCGAUGCCGCGUGAGUGAAGAAGGCCUUUGGGUUGUAAAGCUCUUUCGUCGGGGAAGAAAAUGACUGUACCCGAAUAAGAAGGUCCGGCUAACUUCGUGCCAGCAGCCGCGGUAAUACGAAGGGACCUAGCGUAGUUCGGAAUUACUGGGCUUAAAGAGUUCGUAGGUGGUUGAAAAAGUUGGUGGUGAAAUCCCAGAGCUUAACUCUGGAACUGCCAUCAAAACUUUUCAGCUAGAGUUUGAUAGAGGAAAGCAGAAUUUCUAGUGUAGAGGUGAAAUUCGUAGAUAUUAGAAAGAAUACCAAUUGCGAAGGCAGCUUUCUGGAUCAUUACUGACACUGAGGAACGAAAGCAUGGGUAGCGAAGAGGAUUAGAUACCCUCGUAGUCCAUGCCGUAAACGAUGUGUGUUAGACGUUGGAAAUUUAUUUUCAGUGUCGCAGCGAAAGCAAUAAACACACCGCCUGGGGAGUACGACCGCAAGGUUAAAACUCAAAUGAAUUGACGGGGACCCGCACAAGUAGUGGAGCAUGUGGUUUAAUUCGAAGAUACGCGCAGAACCUUACCAACACUUGACAUGUUCGUCGCGACUUUAAGAGAUUAAAGUUUUCGGUUCGGCCGGACGAAACACAGGUGCUGCAUGGCUGUCGUCAGCUCGUGUCGUGAGAUGUUGGGUUAAGUCCCGCAACGAGCGCAACCCUCACUUUUAGUUGCCAUCAUUUAGUUGGGCACUCUGAAAGAACUGCCAGUGAUAAGCUGGAGGAAGGUGGGGAUGACGUCAAGUCCUCAUGGCCCUUACGUGUUGGGCUACACACGUGCUACAAUGGUAUCUACAACAGGAAGCAAAACGGCGACGUUAAGCAAAUCCUUAAAAGAUACCUCAGUUCGGAUUGCACUCUGCAACUCGAGUGCAUGAAGCUGGAAUUACUAGUAAUCGUGGAUCAGCGUGCCACGGUGAAUGCGUUCCCGGGUCUUGUACACACCGCCCGUCACACCAUGGGAGUUGGUUCUACCUUAAGGCAAGGUUUAAAAUCCUUGACCACGGUAUAGUCAGCGACUGGGGUGAAGUCAUAACAAGGUAGCCGUA
This 1439-nucleotide ribosomal RNA is filed under the name uncultured bacterium. RNAcentral describes it as "bacterial SSU rRNA". It matches the Rfam family "Bacterial small subunit ribosomal RNA". The record is from RNAcentral.